AAGUACCUGUGGAAACCAUGGUUGUCUGGGUCACCAGGAUACCCAAUGUUGAGGCAGUCAGAAGGUGAGCAACCACUCAAUUGUUCAGAGGAAACAUAUACGGGAUCUCCUGCUGCCAAUCCAGCUGGAAGGCAUCCCCCCAUGAUUGUGGGUCAUGGAGCAGAAACGAGUGUACUUUGUGUUCUCUGAGGUGGCAAAGCGAUCUAUAGUCUGCCAUAUCCAACUUGUGAAGAGAGGUGUAAUGUAUUCUGUCUUGGUUUCCCAUUCAUACUGGUGUUGUCCCUCACUUGCCAAGAUGUUGCGGCCCCUGGUGGCAGGAAAAGGGAGGAGUGUAGUGGUGACAGUGGGUGGAUCUGAACCUCAAAGAUGUUUCUGAGGCUCAGUCUGCUUCGUACAUUGAGGUUGAUUUGACUUCCCCUUGCCCUUGCAUGAAAAGGGAGUUUGUGAUAAGGUUGGUAUUGCUUCCAAAAGUCAUGGCACUCCCGUUGUUUGAAUGUUUACUUCUGUUUCGAAUAAGGACGGUAUUUGGAGCCAUAGAAAGAGGUAGAUGCAGUGAAAGUUUUGGUGGUGAAUUCAGAUUUUUUUUCCUUUUCUCCAUCGUGGAGUCAGGGUCCUCACUGAAAAGGCCCUUACCAUCAGAAGGUAAGCCCUCAAUUCUCUCUUUCAUAUUGCUCUACAGGUUGGUGGAACUAUCUCCCUGCAUGCCUCCACAGGGAGAUUGUGGCUGCCAAGUAGUGUGAUUCAGAUUCAGCCAGGAGCUUGGCAGUGCUCAAUUGUUGGCAGGCGUAGUAUGUCAGUGACCAGACUUAGAGGAUGAUGAAGUGGCGCAGUUGAUGACUAGGGAGUUAGGAGCGGGAUGCUUCAGAAGGGGAGAUGUGGGUAACUGGAGGCACAUCAACUGGAGAAUCUACCCAGUUGUCUGGGUCAUCUAGAUCAGACUCAAAGUCAGAAGAGCCAUGGUGAUCAGAAGAGAAGAGGAAGAAUCCUCCAAUCCUGACUGUUUGCGUUUUGACUUUGAACACUUUGGUGUCAAAGGGGAAGCGGACUUCGAAGAGACCUUUGAAAUUCAAAAUGCCAAUGUCGAGCUUGAAGUCGAUGGCUGUGGUUUCAUAGGAGGAGGCUUAGAUGCCAACAAUGAAGUUUUCGGUCGACGAUGAGUUCACAGGGCGGGGUUUCCCCGAUGUCGAAGAACUCGCAUCUCAUCAUAAAUGUCAGCAUGAAGCCACAAGGACCGAUUUUUUUCUUGUCUGCUUUAAAACAGAUAAGCAUAUCUUGCACAAGAAGACAUUGUGCUCCUCUCCCAGGCAGAUUAAGCAUAGGUCAUGGAGAUCUUGGAGGGAAACUUGGCAUUACAGCCUGUGCACCUCUUGCAGCUCCUUUUCUCCUCAGCCAUUUUUAGGGAUAGACCAACUUGUAGCCCGGAAGCUGUUUCCAAGACAAAACUGAUAGUCCAAUAGAUUUAUUUUACAGAUGAACUCAGAAAGAAGAACCUAACCGAUGAGGAUCAACAGCCAGAGGACUGAAUGCAAUGGCAGUCAGAAAAGAACUGAAGAACAGGCGCCUUUAAAUAGCAUGCUGUAGAUAUGAGGGCGAGACUCGGUUGCCUUGACGAGCUGUGGCAUUCUACAGUGAGUGUCCUGCACAGGUGCAUUACCCAUUUUUAUGGAUCUCAGCGGAUCUCAAUUCAGAUCAAUGAAUAUUAUUUACAAUAUGUCCUAAAUACUGCAUCAAAGUAAACAGCUUUAGGAGAACGGAACAGUUAUUCAUUCAUUCAUUAUACAUUAUACCUGAUGAGUUGUUUUGUUCAAGAAUUCUUUAUGAGAUUUCACCCUUCGAAUUUCCGUAUAGUAGUAAGUCUGUGUGUGUUCAUAAAAAGCGUUCUCUAACCUAUAAGAGAAUGUUACACAAUUUCUUAAUGUUGAAAGAGCAAUUCCAGCAUA
Hemicordylus capensis (graceful crag lizard) is the source of this 1940-nucleotide long non-coding RNA. RefSeq lists it as uncharacterized. NCBI's taxonomy places the organism in Eukaryota, Metazoa, Chordata, Lepidosauria, Squamata, Cordylidae. The transcript is spliced from 4 exons. The record is from RefSeq and is a predicted model, not a curated record.